AUUGAACGCUGGCGGCAGGCUUAACACAUGCAAGUCGAGCGGGCGAGGUUGCUUCGGUAACUGAGCUAGCGGCGGACGGGUGAGUAAUGCUUAGGAAUCUGCCUAUUAGUGGGGGACAACAUUCCGAAAGGAAUGCUAAUACCGCAUACGCCCUACGGGGGAAAGCAGGGGAUCUUCGGACCUUGCGCUAAUAGAUGAGCCUAAGUCAGAUUAGCUAGUUGGUGGGGUAAAGGCCUACCAAGGCGACGAUCUGUAGCGGGGCGGAGAGGAUGUUCCGCCACACUGGGACUGAGCCACGGCCCAGACUCCUACGGGAGGCAGCAGUGGGGAAGAUUGGACAAUGGGCGCAAGCCUGAUCCAGCCAGGCCGCGUGUGUGAAGAAGGCCUUUUGGUUGUAAAGCACUUUAAGCGAGGAGGAGGCUACCGAGAUUAAUACUCUUGGAUAGUGGACGUUACUCGCAGAAUAAGCACCGGCUAACUCUGUGCCAGCCGCCGCCGUAA
RNAcentral lists this ribosomal RNA (501 nucleotides) under uncultured bacterium. RNAcentral describes it as "partial 16S ribosomal RNA". It matches the Rfam family "Bacterial small subunit ribosomal RNA", at positions 30 to 523 of the family's 1533-position model. The record is from RNAcentral.